RNAcentral lists this ribosomal RNA (466 nucleotides) under uncultured bacterium. RNAcentral describes it as "partial 16S ribosomal RNA". It matches the Rfam family "Bacterial small subunit ribosomal RNA", at positions 28 to 507 of the family's 1533-position model. The record is from RNAcentral.
GAUGAACGCUGGCGGCGUGCUUAACACAUGCAAGUCGAACGAUGACGCCCAGCUUGCUGGGUGGCUUAGUGGCGACCGGUUGAGUCACACGUGAGUAACCUGCCCUUAACUCUGGGAUAAGCCUUGGAACCUGGUUCUAAUACCGGAUAGAAGCUCCUACCGCAUUGUGUGUGUUGGAAAGCUUUAUCGGUUUUGGAUGGACUCGCGGCCUAUCAGCUUGUUGUUGAGGUCAUGGCUCACCAAGGCGACGACGGGUAGCCGGCCUGAGAGGGUGACCGGACAAACUGGGACUGAGACACGGCACAGACGCCUACGGGAGGCAGCAGUGGGGAAGAGUGAACAAGGGGCGAAAGCAGGAUGCAGCGACGCCGCGUGAGGGAUGACGGCCUUCGGGUUGUAAACCUAUGUCAGUAGGGAAGAAGCGAAAGUGACGGUACCGGCAGAAGAAGCACCGGCUAACUACGUG